CCGCAACUCGCCUGCACGAAGUCGGAAUUGCUAGUAAUCGUAGAUCAGCAUACUACGGUGAAUACGUUCCCGGGCCUUGUACACACCGCCCGUCAAACCAUGAGAGUUGCAACACCCGAAGUCGGUAGUCUAACCGCAAGGAGGACGCCGCCGAAGGUGGGGUUGAUGAUUAGGGUUAAGUCGUAACAAGGUACC
This 195-nucleotide ribosomal RNA is filed under the name uncultured bacterium. Its description in RNAcentral is "partial 16S ribosomal RNA". It matches the Rfam family "Bacterial small subunit ribosomal RNA", at positions 1305 to 1500 of the family's 1533-position model. The record is from RNAcentral.